RNAcentral lists this ribosomal RNA (424 nucleotides) under uncultured bacterium. RNAcentral describes it as "bacterial SSU rRNA". It matches the Rfam family "Bacterial small subunit ribosomal RNA", at positions 355 to 776 of the family's 1533-position model. The record is from RNAcentral.
UGAGGAAUAUUGGUCAAUGGACGCAAGUCUGAACCAGCCAUGCCGCGUGAAGGAUGAAGGCCUUCUGGGUUGUAAACUUCUUUUAUCUGGGAAGAAACCUCCGAUUUCUAUUGGAGCCGACGGUACCAGAGGAAUAAGCACCGGCUAACUCCGUGCCAGCAGCCGCGGUAAUACGGAGGGUGCAAGCGUUAUCCGGAUUCACUGGGUUUAAAGGGUGUGUAGGCGGGCAGUUAAGUCAGUGGUGAAAUCUCCGGGCUCAACCCGGAAACUGCCAUUGAUACUAUCUGUCUUGAAUACUGUUGAGGUGGGCGGAAUAAGUCAUGUAGCGGUGAAAUGCAUAGAUAUGACUUAGAACACCAAUUGCGAAGGCAGCUCACUAAACAGCGAUUGACGCUGAGGCACGAAAGCGUGGGGAUCAAACAGG